This 674-nucleotide ribosomal RNA is filed under the name uncultured bacterium. Its description in RNAcentral is "bacterial SSU rRNA". It matches the Rfam family "Bacterial small subunit ribosomal RNA", at positions 1 to 628 of the family's 1533-position model. The record is from RNAcentral.
CAGNCGGUACUCGCGAAUGCCCUCUAGAUUAGAGUUGAUCAUGGCUCAGGACGAACGCUGGCGGCGUGCCUAAUACAUGCAAGUCGGGCGACAGAGAAGGAGCUUGCUCCUUCGACGUUAGCGGCGGACGGGUGAGUAACACGUGGGCAACCUACCUUAUAGUUUGGGAUAACUCCGGGAAACCGGGGCUAAUACCGAAUAAUCUAUUUUACUUCAUGGUGAAAUACUGAAAGACGGUUUCGGCUGUCGCUAUAAGAUGGGCCCGCGGCGCAUUAGCUAGUUGGUGAGGUAACGGCUCACCAAGGCGACGAUGCGUAGCCGACCUGAGAGGGUGAUCGGCCACACUGGGACUGAGACACGGCCCAGACUCCUACGGGAGGCAGCAGUAGGGAAUCUUCCACAAUGGGCGAAAGCCUGAUGGAGCAACGCCGCGUGAGUGAAGAAGGUUUUCGGAUCGUAAAACUCUGUUGUAAGGGAAGAACAAGUACAGUAGUAACUGGCUGUACCUUGACGGUACCUUAUUAGAAAGCCACGGCUAACUACGUGCCAGCAGCCGCGGUAAUACGUAGGUGGCAAGCGUUGUCCGGAAUUAUUUGGGCGUAAAGCGCGCGCAGGCGGUCCUUUUAAGUCUNGCAUGUGAAAGCCCACGGGCUCAAACCGUUGGAGGGGUCCUU